RNAcentral lists this ribosomal RNA (672 nucleotides) under Triticum aestivum (bread wheat). RNAcentral describes it as "partial small subunit ribosomal RNA". The record is from RNAcentral. Lineage: Eukaryota; Viridiplantae; Streptophyta; Magnoliopsida; Poales; Poaceae.
AUGCCGCCGCCGAGGCCGCCUUCCACCACCUCCGCGGCUCCCACCCGGAGCCCCGUGUGCUGCGCCUCGCCUCAUCACCCGCGACGCCAACUACCCCCCUCUCCCCCACGAGCUCCGCGCCAUGGCCGCUGUCCUCCUCCGCAAGAUCCUCUCUCCACGGCCUCCUCUGACUCGUCCACCUCCGAGCUCCGUGUCAUGGCCGCUGUCCUCCUCCGCAAGCUCCUCUCCCCCGAAGGCCUCUUCCAACUCUGGCCCCUCCUCUCCCCCGAGGGUCAGGCCGCACUCAAGUCAAACCUCGUCAACGCAUCCGGCAGUGCCGCAACAACCUUGACGGAGCUCGCUGCUGCUGCUCACUCUUAUCUCCACCGGGCUGGAGUAUUCAUCCCUGGCUUGCUUGCAGGAGAACCUAGACGCGGGUCAUUUACUUUCAGCAUCUUGCUCAAGGAGCUAUGUUGGCCAUACAGUGCAUCAAGUUGCACACAAUUUUUUGCUUGGCCAAAAAUGGUCGUAGAAGGAGAUGCGGCUCCUAGUGAAGGAGAGAAGGGAGAUAAUGGUGGCAACGGAGGAGAGAUAGGAAGAAGUGGCGCCAGCGUGAAGGAGGAAAUAGAAGACGUGUCGAUGGCCGAUGCUUUUUUAGUUUUGUCUCAUGUGGGGACCAGGUUUCUUAUUUAG